This 551-nucleotide ribosomal RNA is filed under the name uncultured Pseudomonas sp. RNAcentral describes it as "bacterial SSU rRNA". It matches the Rfam family "Bacterial small subunit ribosomal RNA", at positions 198 to 730 of the family's 1533-position model. Lineage: Bacteria; Pseudomonadati; Pseudomonadota; Gammaproteobacteria; Pseudomonadales; Pseudomonadaceae. The record is from RNAcentral.
GGGAGAAAGCAGGGGACCUUCGGGCCUUGCGCUAUCAGAUGAGCCUAGGUCGGAUUAGCUAGUUGGUGGGGUAAUGGCUCACCAAGGCGACGAUCCGUAACUGGUCUGAGAGGAUGAUCAGUCACACUGGAACUGAGACACGGCCCAGACUCCUACGGGAGGCAGCAGUGGGGAAUAUUGGACAAUGGGCGAAAGCCUGAUCCAGCCAUGCCGCGUGUGUGAAGAAGGUCUUCGGAUUGUAAAGCACUUUAAGUUGGGGGGAAGGGCAGUAAAUUAAUACUUUGCUGUUUUGACGUUACCGACAGAAUAAGCACCGGCUAACUCUGUGCCAGCAGCCGCGGUAAUACAGAGGGUGCAAGCGUUAAUCGGAAUUACUGGGCGUAAAGCGCGCGUAGGUGGUUCGUUAAGUUGGAUGUGAAAUCCCCGGGCUCAACCUGGGAACUGCAUUCAAAACUGACGAGCUAGAGUAUGGUAGAGGGUGGUGGAAUUUCCUGUGUAGCGGUGAAAUGCGUAGAUAUAGGAAGGAACACCAGUGGCGAAGGCGACCACCU